RNAcentral lists this non-coding RNA (87 nucleotides) under human gut metagenome. RNAcentral describes it as "TPP riboswitch (THI element)". The stretch from base 2 to 79 matches the Rfam family "TPP riboswitch aptamer (THI element)", at positions 8 to 91 of the family's 105-position model. Rfam says of the family: Vitamin B(1) in its active form thiamin pyrophosphate (TPP) is an essential coenzyme that is synthesised by coupling of pyrimidine and thiazole moieties in bacteria. The record is from RNAcentral.
AGCUGGGGGAGCCCUCGGGCUGAGAGAAGCGGAGCUUCAACCCUUUGAACCUGUGUAGUUAAUCCUACCGUAGGGAAGCGCAUAAGU